RNAcentral lists this ribosomal RNA (1049 nucleotides) under Staphylococcus aureus. RNAcentral's name for it is "partial 23S ribosomal RNA". It matches the Rfam family "Bacterial large subunit ribosomal RNA", at positions 1252 to 2297 of the family's 2925-position model. Lineage: Bacteria; Bacillati; Bacillota; Bacilli; Caryophanales; Staphylococcaceae. The record is from RNAcentral.
GAAGCAUGAUCGUAAGGACAUGUGGAGCGCUUAGAAGUGAGAAUGCCGGUGUGAGUAGCGAAAGACGGGUGAGAAUCCCGUCCACCGAUUGACUAAGGUUUCCAGAGGAAGGCUCGUCCGCUCUGGGUUAGUCGGGUCCUAAGCUGAGGCCGACAGGCGUAGGCGAUGGAUAACAGGUUGAUAUUCCUGUACCACCUAUAAUCGUUUUAAUCGAUGGGGGGACGCAGUAGGAUAGGCGAAGCGUGCGAUUGGAUUGCACGUCUAAGCAGUAAGGCUGAGUAUUAGGCAAAUCCGGUACUCGUUAAGGCUGAGCUGUGAUGGGGAGAAGACAUUGUGUCUUCGAGUCGUUGAUUUCACACUGCCGAGAAAAGCCUCUAGAUAGAAAAUAGGUGCCCGUACCGCAAACCGACACAGGUAGUCAAGAUGAGAAUUCUAAGGUGAGCGAGCGAACUCUCGUUAAGGAACUCGGCAAAAUGACCCCGUAACUUCGGGAGAAGGGGUGCUCUUUAGGGUUAACGCCCAGAAGAGCCGCAGUGAAUAGGCCCAAGCGACUGUUUAUCAAAAACACAGGUCUCUGCUAAACCGUAAGGUGAUGUAUAGGGGCUGACGCCUGCCCGGUGCUGGAAGGUUAAGAGGAGUGGUUAGCUUCUGCGAAGCUACGAAUCGAAGCCCCAGUAAACGGCGGCCGUAACUAUAACGGUCCUAAGGUAGCGAAAUUCCUUGUCGGGUAAGUUCCGACCCGCACGAAAGGCGUAACGAUUUGGGCACUGUCUCAACGAGAGACUCGGUGAAAUCAUAGUACCUGUGAAGAUGCAGGUUACCCGCGACAGGACGGAAAGACCCCGUGGAGCUUUACUGUAGCCUGAUAUUGAAAUUCGGCACAGCUUGUACAGGAUAGGUAGGAGCCUUUGAAACGUGAGCGCUAGCUUACGUGGAGGCGCUGGUGGGAUACUACCCUAGCUGUGUUGGCUUUCUAACCCGCACCACUUAUCGUGGUGGGAGACAGUGUCAGGCGGGCAGUUUGACUGGGGCGGUCGCCUCCUAAAAGG